UACGUAGGGGGCAAGCGUUGUCCGGAUUUAUUGGGCGUAAAGAGCUCGUAGGCGGCUUGGCAAGUCGGGUGUGAAACCUCCAGGCUCAACCUGGAGUCGCCAUUCGAUACUGCUAUGGCUUGAGUUUGGUAGGGGACCACGGAAUUCCUGGUGUAGCGGUGAAAUGCGCAGAUAUCAGGAGGAACACCGGUGGCGAAGGCGGGUCUCUGGGCCGAUAUUGACGCUGAGGAGCGAAAGCGUGGGGAGCGAACAGG
This 254-nucleotide ribosomal RNA is filed under the name uncultured bacterium. Its description in RNAcentral is "partial 16S ribosomal RNA". It matches the Rfam family "Bacterial small subunit ribosomal RNA", at positions 524 to 776 of the family's 1533-position model. The record is from RNAcentral.